This 1753-nucleotide long non-coding RNA is filed under the name Jatropha curcas. RNAcentral's name for it is "long non-coding RNA (JCUR_LNC002859)". The record is from RNAcentral. Lineage: Eukaryota; Viridiplantae; Streptophyta; Magnoliopsida; Malpighiales; Euphorbiaceae.
ACAAUAGCUCGUUAUUUAUUAGCAAGAGCCUCUUGGCUCUUCCUAAACAGCUUAUGCUCAAUAUGUUGAGCGAAAGUGCGAGGAGGAAACAGUGCAGGCUCUUCUUCAGUCACAACUUCAGGUAAUGGCUUAAGGAUAAUUUUUUCCUUCGGUGGCUCACAAAAAACUGCCCAGGAAAUCCUUACCUUCUCCUUAUUAACUAGUCCUCUGUGAAGAAUACUCUUGUAUCUGCGAUUGCUCAGUAUUUCAAUCGUGUCGCCGAUGUGCAUGAUUAUGGAGUUUGGGACGCAUUUUGCAGUGACCCACUUGCCUUCGUAGAAGAGUUGCAGGCCAGGCACCAUAUUGUGGAGGAUGAAAGUGAGAGCACUAACGUCAGUGUGUGCUUCAACUCCUAGAGCAAGUUCUGGCUGUGGGCAUUUAGGGUAAUAGUUAAUCUUCAUUUGAAGAAGAAGCUCUUCAAGCCCACCAACUUCUUUUUCUAGUCUUCCUUCUUCUAGUCCUAAGCCAAGUGAUAGUACUGACAGCAUUUUGGUAGCUAGUGCUCUUAGUUGCCUCGCAUACUCACUGGUCGCCGCUCUGCAUUUUUUUUUUUUUUUACACAUUUAAUACAUGCAUGUUAGUAUAAAGAUUAUGGAGAAUUUAUACAUUGAUUUUCUUAUAUGGAAAUCUAUAAUAUUUCUAAAAUUAAAAUAUAAUUUAAUUAAUUAUGAAAAUUCUAAAAUUAAAAUUUAUAUUUGUAUAUUUUGAGAAAUAAAAUUCUCAAUAAGUCUUACCCUAUUAAUCAAGGCUUUGUUUUUUUUUUUUCACAAAUAAUUUACUUAGAAAUUAUUUUUCGGAUUUUUUCAUGUUUGAAGUAUUCAAGAAAAAUAAUCUACAAAAAUGAUUUUCCUAUUCAAAGGAUUUAAGCUAUUUUAAAAGAAAAUAAUUUCUCAUUCUCAAAAGGAACAAUAAUAUUUUUUAGACAUUAUAAAUUUAUUAUAAUUUUAUAAAUACAUAUUUAUUUAUCCAUUGAUCAAUAGUAGCAACCACUACUGAUCAGCAAUUACUGCGAACUGCCAAACACCAUUAUUGGCUCCUAACAACCAUUAUAAUUUAUAAUUUUUUAAAUUUUUUUAUCAUAUUCAACAAUAAAUUUUUAAAAUACAAAAUUUUUAUAAUACUCAGUUAGCAACACAAAUUGAACAUAUGUGAAGAGUUGUCGUGUUUGAUUCCAACUAAACACAUCUACAUAGAAGGGCGAAAAACCUUAACUGUGAUUAAAUUCCGAGCCGAAUUAAUCAGCCUCAGCUAAUAGGAUCCGGAUACCGAUUGAUUACACUAAAAAACCUCUUUAUAUAUAUUUUUGAUAAGCAGUGAUUAAACGUUUUUUUUUUAAAAACUUUUCUGAUUAGGACUUAUCAGGCACUUGUUAAAUGCAUCUUAAUUAACUAAUUACUGCAACAACUUACAUGUAGUCAGAGGGAGUUUUAGGCCAAAUAGACAAGUCGCGUUUGUCUUCAGGAUAAAUAAGAUGGAAGAAAUAAUCCUCCCACUCUAGCUGCCCACUAGCAUUAUUAGCAAGCUUACUGCCAUAGCCUUGGAUUUUCCCUGAAGCCUGAUCAUUUGCAUAUUUUUCUUUUUCCUCCAUAGGUUGAUCGAAGAAAGCUUCUCCAGCUUUCUUAACGCGUUCAAUAAGUUGGUCAGAAAUUCCAUGGUUAACCAAAUGCAUAACUCCCCAUUCCUUGGCAGCUUUUAUGAACUCUGCUCUGCAUUU